RNAcentral lists this long non-coding RNA (205 nucleotides) under Mytilus galloprovincialis (Mediterranean mussel). Lineage: Eukaryota; Metazoa; Mollusca; Bivalvia; Mytilida; Mytilidae. The record is from RNAcentral.
UUCUUGUAUCUAUAUCUCCUUUAUUCGGAGCAACCCACCCUAAAUAUACAUAUGAUAUACAGUCUAUAGGUGAUCUCUUGUGCCGUGAUACACAUGUUUGCUUAACACAGGAUGUCUUUGUUUAUAUUUAUUUAUUGAAUGCUUCUCUUUGUAACUUCAUUGGGGUGUAAAAGCGUUGACCGAAGUACAUUUUUAUGAAGCGCGC